RNAcentral lists this ribosomal RNA (372 nucleotides) under uncultured bacterium. RNAcentral's name for it is "bacterial SSU rRNA". It matches the Rfam family "Bacterial small subunit ribosomal RNA", at positions 524 to 898 of the family's 1533-position model. The record is from RNAcentral.
CACGUAGGGGACAAGCGUUAUUCGGAAUUACUGGGCGUAAAGGGCAUGUAGGCGGCCUGAUAAGCCUGGCGUGAAAGUCACCGGCUCAACCGGUGGAUUGCGUCGGGAACUGUUGGGCUUGAGUCAUGGAGAGGAAGGCAGAAUUCCUGGUGUAGGGGUGAAAUCUGUAGAGAUCAGGAAGAAUACCAGUGGCGAAGGCGGCCUUCUGGCCAAUGACUGACGCUGAGGUGCGAAAGUGUGGGGAUCAAACAGGAUUAGAUACCCUGGUAGUCCACACUGUAAACGAUGUGCACUAGGUGCUGGGGCGGAUGCUUCAGUGCCGGAGCUAACGCGGUAAGUGCACCGCCUGGGGAGUAUGCUCGCAAGGGUGAA